Non-coding RNA from Sus scrofa (pig), 4232 nucleotides. NCBI's taxonomy places the organism in Eukaryota, Metazoa, Chordata, Mammalia, Artiodactyla, Suidae. The record is from RefSeq and is a predicted model, not a curated record.
AGCCUCCUCCGUCUGCAGUCAGCCCUGCUCAGUGGUACCUGAAACAGGUUGCCUGUGAGGUGUUCACUUUCUAUACGAUGAAUAUUAUACAGUCAACCUCUUUCCGGUAUCGAAUCCCGCCUUGGACGACUUCUGCUCAGGGCGCCGACUCCGGGGAACGGAAGCUCUCUGCGCGGGUUGACCUAUGGACUUGGUGUAGGACCUUUGCCCCUGGCCUGUUCAUUUUCCAGCUGCUUCUGUUCUGGAGAGCUGCUGAGAGCAACAUGCAGCGGACUCUCCGUCCCCGAGGGCCCUGCUACUGAGGUGCUGGGCGAGGCUUUACCUGCUGAUUCUCAUUUCACAUAGGCACCCCCACCUCUCCGGCCCUGCCCAGACCACCCCACGAUCGCUGGAAACAUGGGAGAAGGGUCCAGGCCCCCGGAAAGGUGAAUUCCAAGAGGGCCUCCUAAGUAUGACCGGGGGAAGUUUGGCAUUUGUUAAUUGCCUCCCGGGCUGCAGAAAGCCCUUUCUGAGCCAGGCUCGCAUCAUCCCAAGGGCUGUGAGAAAACAUCCUUGCCUUCAAACUCUCAGCUCUGUGCAUGCCCUCCUCCCGUGCGCUCCUCCUGGGGUCGGGGGCCCCUCCGUGCCUGGCCCUUGGGGAGGGGUGGCCCCAGCUCCAGGAAAGACGCUAGUGACCAUGCCCGUGGCGUGUCAGGCCGCCAAGAUCCACCUCCUGUUGUUGCCAUCCCCACCCCUCCUCUCCAGCCCAUGAGCCACAGCCCUGCUGGAGGGACCAUCCUUUCUGGCCUGGACCGCUGCCCACGCCCUCACUUGGGUGUUCUUCCAGUCCCCCUCCUCUUUCUGCCAGGGAGAACCUUCCAGAGUGCAGUCUGGCUCUCUACCCUGCCCAGAGCCCCUCUGUGGCUCCCCUGCCCUCAUGCUUGGCUCCAAAACAGAAGCUAGUGACUCAAGCACAACCCCCCUAUUCCUUGCUGCUUUUACCAUGUGCCACUCCCCCACCCCCUCCCCACUUUAUAUCCAUCCAUUCUCCUGCUGGGAGCUGAGUCCUGGGUGGCCUCCUCUCUGCAGCCGGCCCUCAGCGCCCACCCUCCAUCCAGGGUGCUGGGCUUCCUUACUCCUUUCUUGGGACAUGCAGCAGAAUCUCUUGCUCACGGCUUCCCCCUGCCUCCACCAGUAAUUGUCCCCUUUUUAGAGCUGGGAUUUGAGAUUAUGGAGGCAAUGAAAUGUCUCUUGCUCAGCAAGCCUGUCCCUGAUCACCCAGCCUAGCCCCUACCUCUUCCCAGCCACUUUGUCUCAUUCUAGCUUAUCCAAAAAUCCAUAUUAAUAUUUACUUUCUCUCUCCCCCCAUAGACUCUUAGAUUUCUCAGGGCAGGAAUUUUUUUCGGUCCUGUUCCCUGCUGUGCCCCUAGCCCAGGAGUCCAGGCCAGGUUCAUAGCAAAAGAAUGGUGAGUGUUUGUUGAUUGACUAAUGGACUCCCUAAGGGCUGGGACCUUAUCAAGUUAAUCCCCAGGAAAGUGCCAAGCACAAAGGAGGCACUCAAGAAGAUGUGGUGAUGAGCACAUGAAUAUGGUAAUUGGUUUUUAGAAUUUCUUCACAUUUGUUAAAAGCUGUUUGAUUUUUCCUUUUCUUUUCUGCCCCUUCCAGGAUGUCUUUUGAGAGUCUGAGGUUUGCUUCUGAGGCUGGGCUUUUCUCUCCACUUUCCAGGGGUCCCCCAAGGCCCUGAAAGAAGUGACAAGCCCCAGUAUAACCCUACAGACCCCAGUUGAGCCCCUCCCCCACCUUCUAGCAAACUCCAUAGCUCUCAGAAACAGGUGCUCUGGGGAACUCCACCUGCAACAGGCUGGAACGUGGUGUCAGGGCUAAUAUUUUAUGCAUGGAACUCAGUAAAUGGGGACAUUUGGAGAUGAAAAUUGCUGUUAAUGCAUCCACACAUCUUUGGAAUACAUUAAAUGUGUGUGGGGGGCGGGGGGGAGGCAACAUUAGCCUUAUUUAAUAGCUCCAAUGUAACCAUCCCCACACCACAGCACAUCAUUAAGGAGCACAGGCACCCCAACCCCCGUCUCCCAGGCUGCCACACGGGAGAAGCACUGGGUACAUUGCUGCCACUUGAGAAUUAUGCAUGAGACAAAAUGUCAGCCUAGGGUGCCAGGCACCGGGCAGCGUGCAUGUUCCAAACUCAUUUUCGACCCAAAGAUGGUGACCCUGUGCUGCUUGGUGCAGAAUUUCAUUAAAAGCCAAAUUACUGGUUUAUCUAUUGUUUGAAGAGAAGAGAAAAUAAACAAAGGGCCUUUUUCAUCUGACCAACAGAAUGAAAAUGUCUGUCCCUGCAGCAGCCCGGAGGAAAGUCACUGUGGACGCUUGAGCCAGAGGGUCAGUGACUGGGGGCCAUCGCCCAGGGGCCGCUUAGGUAAACCAGCCACAGGUUCAAACUCAGGGGUGCCCCUUGUUUUCCGGUGCCUGUGGGGGCAAGAGCCCUGGCUCCCCAAAUGCUCUUUGCACGAUGGGGUUGGCUCGCUUUUCCCAACACUCAGUUUGCCGUCCUUUUCCUGGUUUUUCCCUGCAUCCACCUGGCACCUCCAAUUAGGUGCCAUGACUCCCGGAAUAGAGUGUCUUCAGUCGGGGACAGUGCCCACGGCCCCUGGCCUGGAGAGUGGCCUGCUUGCUCUGUCAGAAGAGCCAGCCGCCUCCCACCCAGCCCCAGGGUCCCCCUCCUCUCUGCUCCCCCCACCCUUCCGUGUACCACCGAGCACAGAGACAAUGGCUUGUGCAGUCCUGGGGCCUCAUGGGCCCUCAAGGAUGUAAAGACCCCCCCAAAUGGCAGGGCUGAGUUUAUUCCUCUCCUGUCCCAACCCUCUGCGCACACCGUCACACAGGCGAGAAGUCUGAGGGCUGAGGGGAGAGUGCUUUGUCCUGGCUUUUUUCCUAAGGGGUAUCUGAAGCUUUGGGAUCAAGACCCACCUGUGGCAAGUGAGCAGUUUCCUUCAUGGUAACAACAGAGUGACCCAGCAACCCAGGGCCGUGAGAGCGCCAAGGGCGACUCAAAACCUCUUUUCUCAGGGGGCAGGGGGUGGGGCCUGAUGCUGCUACCCUGCCACAGAGCUUCCAGAAGCCAGGGCCUCAUGCUGCAGUGCCAGUUCAUAGUAGGUGCUCAGCUAAUGCCUGGAUCAAAGCUGGUCUCAGACCCCAGCGCAGAGUAGGCAUUCGACACGGGAGGGUAUUGAAUCAGGUCUUUACUGCCAGGCGGACACACACAGGAGGCGCUGGAAGGACGUUUGCAGAAUGAAUAAAUAAACGUGUGCUCUUUGAGGGGAUAAAGCAGCAGAGAAACUAAGAAGAAUCCAGGGAAGCUGGACAUAAAUCUCCACCAAAUGCCACCAAGGCUCCGCAGCCGAGGCCCCUGAAAAGACCCCGUGGAGGCUGCAGGCCAUUCGUCACGGCGGGGACGGGCUGGAGGGCCAGGAAGCAAGGGCUUGAUGGAGCGGCGUUCUUCAUUUUCGCAUCAUCCCGGCGGCAGUGGAGGGCGGCCCACGCGUGUGCAGCCUCGCCGCCUGCCUGGCGGACUGAGUGCCGGGCUGGGGGUGGGGAAGGACCCGAGGAAGGGCAGGCACUCGUCUCAGAGCUUCCCCUCGUGCCCUUGGUGCCGUAGUUGCUGUGUUCAUACCUCUGAGUCCCUCCUGCCAUUCGUUCCAGAUGCACCUGUACCUGUAAUGCCUGCCCCUCCUCCUCCAGGGCUCUGCUCCAGUGCCCAUUCCUACAGGAAGCCCUCCCUGAUCCACCCUCCACACAGAACCUCAGCUUGCAGUCCACUCUCCGUUCUCUGAUGCUUUGAUUAGCAGGGGCCAGACUGCCCUGUCCGGAUCGCAUCUCCUGUUUUUCCGGACGGCACAGUGGUCCCUGCUGUCGGACAAUGCUAAGGGCACCCUGCCCUGCCUCACCCAGGAAGCCGGGGUAGGCCUCUGCACCCCUCCGCUCCACGGUUUGAAGGACGCAUACGGAGUACCAGGGGGCGAAUCCCACAGCCGGAGCGACCAGCCUUCGAGUGGCCUGUGGGGAGGGACUGUGUGGACCCUUGGAGAUGAACCCAAAGCCAAUGCCCUUGCUUCUCCCGCCAGACAGCGGCGCUGGGAGGUGAAAACGCUGCUCAGAAGCACCUAGGAAUUCCUGCUGUUCCUUUUCAAACAUGUUGAAUGUUGUCAGGCUCUUUGAGUAAUAAAGACAUUAUAAAAAUUUAA